CACGAGAAAGCGAUGCGGUAUCCCCGCGGUCAGGGCGUGCAGUUCCUCGUGUCUCGUGUGUGAUAGUGGCAUUUUUGUUUUUUUUUGUUGUUUAUUAUUUACAAUAAAAUAAUAUUGUGAUUAUAAUUAUUAUUAAUACAUAUUAAUAAUUAUAAAUAAUAUAACAAUUAAUAAUACAUCAUUAUUUAAAAUAAAUUUUUCAUCAUUUUUUAUUUUCCUGUUCAUCAAAAAAUUGGUACACACAUAUACCAAUAAAAUUUACUCAUAAAUUACAUACACAUAUACAAUAGUGACGACACUGAGAAAAAAAGUAUAAAAAACUGUGUGAAUCUCGUCCCAGUGUGACGACAAAAAUAUAUAUAUAUAUCACACAUAUAUAUAUAUUAAUAUAAAAAAAAAAAAAAAAGUUUCUUGUGAUAAAAAAAAAAAAUCCAGAACUCCUGAUUAUUAGUCAUUUAUAAUUAGUUCUAUAAAAAGUACCAAAUAAUAAUGUAAAUUGUGAAUUUAAAAAAAUAUUAUUUAUAUAUUAUUUUAAAUAAAAAAUUAAGUGGUAGAAAGUGUUAAAUAUAUCUAUAUAAAUAUAAAUAACAUUUUUUUUUUUUUUUUAUAUAUGUAUAUAAUAAUAAUAUAAAAUAUUGAUGUUGAUGUGUGUGAGGAAAGUUUGUCGGAGCGUGUCGGCGACGCUGUGUAUAUGACGGAGGUGAAUGCACGAGAGACGACAACGACGACGACGACGACGACGGAGUUUUGUCCCCCUUGUAUGUGUACGUCUCUACCUUAAUAAUAACAACAACGAGUUAUCAAGUGCGUCUGUGUUGUGUACCUCAUAUUAAAAUUACGUACAACGCGACAGUAAAAUUUUUGAGGGAAAAAAAAAAAAAAAAUCUAAAAUUAUUAUUGUUUUUUUUAUUUAAAUAUUAUAAAUAUUAUUAUUAUAAAUUAGUAUCUAGAGCGUCAAAAAGAUACAAAAAACAAGUAAAAAAAAAAUAGUGUGAGAGAGUGUAGAAAUCACAACAACAACAACAGAGAAAACUUCAAACAACUCCAAAAUAAAACAACUACUCCAAAUAAGUGUUUUAUUAAUAGCCAAAAUUUAUAUAAAAAAAUAUUAUUAAAUAAUAUUAAAAAUAUACAUAUGUUGUCACCGGUUUAAAUUGAAAAUUAUUAUUUAAAAAAAAAUAUAAAUAAUAUAAACGUCAAAUAAGAGAGGAUUAAAAAUUUGUGAAAAUUUAUUUGAUAAUUGAGUGAAUAAUAUUUGCUUGAUAUAAUAAUAAUUAUUAUAAAAAAUAUAAACAAAAAAAAGGACAAAUUAAUUUGAAUAAAUUAUCAAAAAAAAAAAGAGAGAGAGACAGAGUGGGGAGUGACGUUGCUGGGCGUCGAAAUUGGACGUUACACGUUUUGUUGUUAUUUUGCCGUGGUGCUUUUGACCCUUUGGCGGGCGAGUUCACUGCAGGCAUUGCCGCGGGGGUGUUCGGUGCCUUCGUGCGUAGCGACGCAAACGGUCACGAUCGCCGUCAUCCCCUAUUGUCGCUUUUCAUCCCCCUUUUAUUUUUAUUUUUUUUAAUUUUCCUCUCUUGCAACACACUACCGCCUUCUCUUAAACAGCUACAUUAUUAAUAAAUUAUUACAAUAAAUAAUGUUUUUAAUUAUUAAUUCUUGACAAUUAAUUAUUUGAAAAAAAAAAACAUAUACAUAUAAGCUUUUUUCAAUAAUUGAGAUAUAAUUUUUUAAACAAAAUAUAUACGUAAUAAUUUUAAGCUGUCAAUAUUUCAUGAUAUAAAUAUUUGAUUAAUUUUAAAACUGUGUGACAACUGUGUUAAUUUGACAGAUGGAAUGAUAAUAAUAAUAUACAGGAAAAAAAAAUAUAUCUUGCUUUGGGAUAUAUAAAAAAAAAAUUGACAAAUCAAGUUGAUAAAAUUAGCAACAAUUGAAGAUUAUCUAGAACGUAAAUCAGUGAUUAAUUUGUGAAUUGUUUGUGCAAAUUAUUAACGUGUUUUAUUUAUUUAUUUGAAAGUUUUUCUUUUUUUUUGUUUUUUUGUGUACACGUUGCUUCUCUGACAACACCAGUGGAUUUUGUGUGAAUCAACAAACUAGUGAAUUUAUUUAUUGUGUAAAAAAGUUUUAUAAAUAAUUAAACUAUAUAUUUGUUUUUUAAAUUUUAUUUAUUUAUUUGUGGAUAUUUUGUUGGUGAUUGUUUUGGAUACCUCAUGACACGUUUUAUCAAAAAAACAAAAUUAUUUUUGUGACAUCUUUAUUGUGCCACGAAUAAGUUUUGAAAAGACAACAAAGUAUAUAACCCAAGAUCCAGUAAUGCCUCUUCACUCAUAUAAAUAAGCUAAAAAAAAAUAUUACGUAUAAAUACAGGGUAAUCAUCUUAUAAUAAAAAUUUAAUUAAAUAAAACUGUAUAGGUGAUUUGAGUGAUCACUUUUUUCCAUAAAAUAAAAUAAUAAAAAAUAAAAAAAAUAAUAAGGGAAAGAAAGGAGGGCCUGACGAGCCCCAUGUUGUGAGUGUCACAAAAUCUGCCGCAGGCAGUGAAAAAGUGGAUCUGCUGGUAUGGAGUAUGACGGUGGUGGUGGCGGCGGUGGAGGCGGUGGAAGUAGCACUAGUGGAGCCCGAGAAGAAUUUCAAGAUUCACCACCAGGUCCACACGUUAUUCCUGGUAACCCUCAAUCAAUUGAGGCCUACAGAGCAUGGUGUAGACAUGAGCAGUUGAUGAUGAUAGAGCUUGCAGAACAAGAAAUGUGUGGUCGAGGUCGGGGAAGUGUUCAACAACCUACAGCAAGUACACGCGUUAUCCCAAGCACUGAUGCAGUUGAUGCAGCAUGGCUCAAACGUGAACAGCUGUUUAUGUCACAAUUAUCAAAAGAAUCACAACAACUGAGUGGCAGAUCAGGAAGUGGUGGUGGACCACUUUAUGGAAGAUUGGUGUCCGAAGAACCACCGCUACCAGUAUGUGGAUCUGGAAGUGGUACAACGAGUAGCCUACCGUUGGAAAAACCAGCAGAUAUUCAUGCGAUGCAAGCAAGAAUACCUCAUAGAUUUCGAGAUCCAGCAACAGCUCCACUCAGAAAACUUAGUGUAGAUCUUAUUAAAACCUACAAGCACAUUAACGAGGUAUACUAUGCCAAGAAAAAAAGAAGAGCGCAACAAAUGCAAGGUGAAGAUAGCUCUCAUAAAAAAGAAAGAAAACUUUAUAAUGAUGGCUGGGAUGAUGACAACCACGAUUAUAUAAUUAAAAAUGGUGAAAAAUUUUUAGAUCGAUAUGAGAUUGAUUCUCUAAUAGGUAAAGGCAGUUUUGGUCAAGUAGUAAAAGCAUUUGAUCUUGAGGAACAAACACUAGUGGCAAUAAAAAUCAUUAAAAAUAAAAAACCUUUUCUCAAUCAAGCGCAAAUUGAAGUUAGGUUAUUAGAAAUGAUGAAUAGAGCUGAUACCGAUAACAAGUAUUAUAUAGUUAAACUAAAAAGGCAUUUUAUGUGGAGAAAUCAUUUAUGUCUGGUAUUUGAACUACUGUCUUACAAUCUUUAUGACCUACUUAGAAAUACAAAUUUUCGAGGGGUAUCAUUAAACCUCACGAGGAAGUUUGCACAACAAUUGUGUACUGCCUUAUUAUUCCUAUCAACACCGGAAUUGAACAUCAUUCACUGUGAUUUAAAACCUGAAAAUAUAUUAUUGUGCAAUCCAAAAAGAAGUGCGAUAAAAAUUGUUGAUUUUGGUAGUUCUUGUCAACUUGGACAAAGGAUAUAUCAAUACAUUCAAUCUAGGUUUUAUCGUUCACCUGAAGUUUUACUUGGUAUACCUUAUGAUUUAGCGAUAGACAUGUGGAGUCUUGGAUGUAUUUUAGUUGAAAUGCAUACGGGUGAACCAUUGUUUAGUGGUGCUAAUGAGGUUGAUCAAAUGAAUAAAAUUGUGGAAGUAUUGGGUUUGCCACCAAAACAUAUACUAGACCAAGCGCAUAAAGCAAGAAAAUAUUUUGAUAAAGUACCAACUGAUGGUUCAUAUGUGCUAAAAAAAUCAAAAGAUGGUAAAAAAUAUAGACUACCUGGUACAAGACGAUUACAAGAAAUUUUAGGUGUUGAAACUGGUGGUCCUGGUGGUAGAAGAAGUACCGAGCCAGGUCAUUCAAUAUCUGAUUAUCUUAAAUUUAAAGAUCUUAUACUUAGAAUGCUUGAUUUUGAUCCAAAAACAAGAGUUACGCCGUACUAUGCAUUACAGCAUAAUUUUUUUAAAAGAACUGCUGAUGAAGGGACCAACACAAAUAUAGCAGCUGCCAAUAGUGCAAAUACAAGUCCGGCAGUAGUUUCAAUGAGUCAAGACAGUGGAUCAGCCUCGACAGAUGAUCGAUGACAGAGUGUAGCCAGUCAGAACACAGCGUGUUUCAUUACCCGAAUUUUAGGAGUUUUGAUUUGUGCAGAAAAUAUGAUGGGGGGACAGUACGUGGCUCGAUGACUGUCGUAUCCGCGGGGCGGUGACAACCUGUCCUAGGCCCCCAACCCUA
This 4496-nucleotide unclassified non-coding RNA is filed under the name Aphidius gifuensis. RNAcentral's name for it is "serine/threonine-protein kinase minibrain, transcript variant X1". The record is from RNAcentral. Lineage: Eukaryota; Metazoa; Arthropoda; Insecta; Hymenoptera; Braconidae.